This 89-nucleotide transfer RNA is filed under the name Fidelibacterota bacterium. Its description in RNAcentral is "tRNA-Ser". It matches the Rfam family "tRNA". From Rfam's summary of the family: Transfer RNA (tRNA) molecules are approximately 80 nucleotides in length. Their secondary structure includes four short double-helical elements and three loops (D, anti-codon, and T loops). Lineage: Bacteria; Pseudomonadati; Fidelibacterota. The record is from RNAcentral.
GGAGAGUUGGCAGAGUGGUAAUGCAGCGGAUUGCUAAUCCGUCAUCCUUGAAUAGGGAUGCACGUGUUCAAAUCACGUACUCUCCGCGA